GGAUGCGACAUACCAGCACUAAAGCACCGGAUCCCAUCAGAACUCCGAAGUUAAGCGUGCUUGGGCGAGAGUAGUACUAGGAGGGAAGUCCUCGUGUUGCAUUCC
RNAcentral lists this ribosomal RNA (105 nucleotides) under Triticum aestivum (bread wheat). The record is from RNAcentral. Lineage: Eukaryota; Viridiplantae; Streptophyta; Magnoliopsida; Poales; Poaceae.